This 440-nucleotide unclassified non-coding RNA is filed under the name Hevea brasiliensis (rubber tree). The record is from RNAcentral. Lineage: Eukaryota; Viridiplantae; Streptophyta; Magnoliopsida; Malpighiales; Euphorbiaceae.
UUUGGUCAGUUACAUACUAUGAAUACUUUGUGGACAUCAUAAUUUGACACCUGCCUCUGCACUGUAUGGAUUCCAUCCUGUACGAUUUGCUUUUUGCAUCUAAAACAGAAAGUAAUUUAGCAUUGCUUAAUUGAAGAUUGCUUGCAGCCAUUUCUUGACCACCCAACAAUACUUGUCCAUACUAGCUAGGAUACACGGGAGCUGGUUGAUCGAUAUCAGAAUUUCAUAAACGGCCGAUAUAUAUAUAUAGUUAGAAGAUGGGUGGUUUAUUUUUGAGGACACAAUGCAAGAUGCUUUGAUAGGAUAUGGAAAGAAUUGUUGAUGGAUCUCAUCUUGUUACCCUUAAACCUGUGAACUUGUAUUCACUUAGGGAUUGUUUGCUGAUAUUUUCCUACUGUUUCUCGGGAAAGUGAUAAAGAUCAUGGAUAUUCUCAAGCUGU